Molecule: ribosomal RNA, 410 nt
Filed under: uncultured microorganism
Description: bacterial SSU rRNA
Rfam family: Archaeal small subunit ribosomal RNA
Source: RNAcentral
GUGCACCAGGCGCGAAAACUUUACAAUGUGCGAAAGCACGAUAAGGGAACUCUGAGUGCCUCCUAAGGAGGCUGUUCAGGUGUCUAAAAAGCACCUGGAGUAAGGGCUGGGUAAGACCGGUGCCAGCCGCCGCGGUAACACCGGCAGCCCAGGUGGUAGCCACUUUUAUUGGGUCUAAAGCGUCCGUAGCCGGUUGAGUAAGUUCCUUGGGAAAUUUGGCUGCUCAACAGUCAAGCUUCCAGGGAAUACUGCUCGACUUGGGACUGGGAGAGGUCAGAGGUACUCCAGGGGUAGGGGUGAAAUCCAUUAAUCCCUGGGGGACCACCGGUAGCGAAGGCGUCUGACCAGACCAGGUCCGACGGUGAGGGACGAAGGCUAGGGGCGCGAACCGGAUUAGAUACCCGUGUAGU